GGAUAGUGACACUUACAUAUAAUUUCAGCACUCAGGAGGCUGAGGCAGGAGGAUCUCAAAUUGGAGGCCCGCCUGGACUACAUAGCAAGUCCAAGUCUGGUCUGAAUUACAGAGCAGGACCCUGUCUCAAAACAAAACAAGACAAGACAAGACAAAACAAAACAAAACAAAGCAGCAAGGCUGGCAGCAUGCAGCUGCAGAGUCCUGCCCUGCCUUACCAGCCUUUCCCUACCCCUGGUGAGUGCAGAGAGCAGGGAGCUGGGAACGCCUCUCUCGCGCGCCCUCUGCUGUGACCUCACAUCACUGCAGCACACCUGUCCCAGGCAGUGCGGGGCUGGUCGUCAUGGAGCUCCUCCCACCCCACCUUCGACCUCGGGGUUCCAUCCGGGGUGGCAGGCUGCCCGCAGGCCUCGUGCCACCUGCGCGUCCUGGGGACAGUCUCCCAGACUAGCUUUUGAACUCCUGCACGGUGGGCGACAGAGGCCAGGGUGUUGACACACGGGCGGCUGUCCCGGCCCAGAGCUGCCCAGGGGCUCUGUGCAGCGCUUCUGCCUGGUGCUAGGCGCCGCCGGGCACCUGCCAGGCCUGCGGGACGGAGGGAGCACUCCUGCCGCUCAGGACCACGGCUGUUCACAGAGGCCUCCGCGCACACACUUGACGCAGGUGGCCAGAUCUGUCCAGCUUUCAAAACACACCAUCCGCGGUGUGAGGACGGAGGGGAGGCGGUCCUGGGCCUGCCUGCCUCGCUGCGCAGUCCCUGCUCCUCGGUUCUGGCCAGGGAGAGUCCGGGAGUGGCCAGGAGGCUGAAGUUUGAGGCCCACAGUGGAAACAGAGGCUGGGGAAGGACCUUGGCCCUGUCUCCCGGGGCAGCCUGGCCGUCUGCCCGUGGGCACACCGUACCUCAAAGAGAAAAGCAAGUGGCUGACAAGCCCAGACACACACAGGGCAUUCCAGCAGAGACAGAGGGGCAGACGCGUCCCCAGGAUAGCGCGGACAGGAGGGUCAGCAGGAUGCCAGAGGAACCAGCGCAGGAACCUGGGCUGGGAUGCAGCAGCACCGGAGCGAAGGAGCCGCGGCAGACCCCGCGGAGGACACGUGAAAGGGCGGCUGCGGCGGAGGCCUGACACGCUGUUCCUCCUUCCCGGCCUGCUCCCCGGCGUUCUGAGGCUCUUUCCGGUACAUUCCCUUUUCAGUCACCCGUUUCAGUUCGAAUUGCACUCUGUGCAAACAAGGAACUCUGACACAUGUCAGGAAACGGCUGUCCCAGCCACAACUUGGCAUUUCCUUUCUCUCUCUCUCCCUUUCCCUCCCCUUCCCUUUCCUUUCCUUCUUUCCUUCCUUUCUUUUUUUUCUUUCUUGUACUGAAGAUUGAACCUAGGGCUUUACACAUGCUAGGUAAACACUUGACUUGCUUUUCUGAUUGUUGGGACAAAAUACCUGACACCCAAAGUUAAGGAAGGAAAGGUUUACUUAGCUCACAGUUUGUGGAGGUUUCAGUCCAUAAUCAGGGUGGAGGUUUCAGUCCAUAAUCAGCUGGCCCCAAGGCAGGGUGGCAUGGCAGAGGAGCAACAGUUCAUGGCUGCAAGGACGACAAAAGCAACAAGAGCAAAAGGGAAGGAGCAAGCCUCUUUUCCUCCCUUACAUUGUAACCAGGCUACGCACCCUAGCGUGGGUGUAGCAUUCACAGCCGCAACCCCAGCACUAGACAAUGAACCAACUGCAAACUCUAGAUUCAGCCGCCUCUGAAAAGCCUUCCCCCCUUGACUAUAUGAGGCUUUGGGGGGGUCAUCUAGACAUAAACCAUAACAAAACUCUACUGCUGAGCUACACCCCCAGCCCUUUUAAUUUUUAUUCUGAGACAGGGUCUCACUAUGUUGCCCAGGCUAGCCUCAAACUUGUGAUGUUCCUGCCUCAGCCUCCUGGGUAGCUUGAAUUGCAGGUGUGCACCACCAUGCCUGGCUGGCAUUUUCUCCUAGUAAACAAUGACAUACUAUACAGCUUCAGAUUCCUGGGUGAAGCAGCCUGUUCAGCCGGCUCAUGUCAGCUAUCCUCUCAUGUCCACUCGGCUGGGCCUCGGAAGAAGGCAGGGUGUCAAGAUGCAAGUCGGUGGGGGAGGCUGGCACAAUGUGUGUCCACAUGCAGUUCUGAGGACUGUGCGGGUGCAUUUCUGAGGGGUCCUAGUCAUACUGUAGACACUGAAAAUGCCUCUAGUCAGAAUUUUAACAGGUGGCAGUAAAGUAUGCUGAGAAAGGAACACAAUCCUUAUGUAAGGGCUCCACAGGGUAGUGGUGACCCCAGGCUGGGCUCGCUUCUCAACUAGCAAAGCGCUAGUUCUCAGGGAAGAUGGCGUGGUUUAGCGCUGUGAUACUGCAGUGAAAUACCAGAAAGAGGGCACCUGUGAAGAAAGGUUUAAGGUUUAUUUAGCUCACACAUCUGGAGGUUCAGAUUCAAGAUCAGGCAGCAGAGAGAGAGAGGGGCGGGGAGAACACUCCCGCUUCUUUGUAUCUGUCUAACUGCUUCUUUUUUUUUUGGUACCAAGACUCGAACUCAGGACCUUGGGCUUGCCAGGCAGGUGCUUGUGCUAUAUCCCUGGCCCCUGUCUGUCUAACUGCUUCUGACCACAGCUUUCAGAGCUGCUUUACUCCCCUGCCUCAGCAGACUGGGAGGAGACAGCCAGGGUGGCGGCAGCGGGCGAGCUCAGUGGAACCCUUGCCCAGCAUGUGUGUGGCCCUGGGCUGAUCCCCAGCACUGUGGAAAAGAAGACGACCCAGAAAGUAGCUCCCUCCCAGACGCACACCACCAGACAAAGGCAUGAAACCCCGGGAAAUGAGCUCACGAAGAAAAAUAAGGCACCCGGGUCAUGUGAUGUCUGUAAAAGAAAUCUAAAAAAAUGAGGAAGAGAAUUAAUGGACUAGUGAGAACAAGAAUUUGAAGUAAUCAUAAAAACAUCCUAUAAGAGAAAAUGGAGAUCAUUAUAUAUUUGGAACAGGAAUGAUACCUAUAAAGAAGUUAUCAAGUACAGAAGAAUAGCUGGGACACAAAGUUUAGUGUGUAAGUGGAGUAGGAAAUAGAUUCAGACUAAGAAUCAAUUCCUAAGCUGGAAGGUAAGCCUGCAAACUCUCCCAGAAUGUGUCAGGAAGGAAUAAAGGGGUAAAAAGUACAAGGGUAAAGUGACUAAAUCCAGAAGAUAGACAUGUCUCCAAAAUGGGAGUUCCAGAAGAGAAGGGAGAAAAUCUGGAAGUAAAUAUCUGAAAAAUAGUAACUAAGUGAAUUCCCAGCUCUGAAGGUGUCGGUCAGUGGUAAAAUGUGUGAUUCUAAUGCACAAACAAAACAAAACUGAAAAACAAAUUCCUAGACUUCCCAGAAUUACAGACAGGAUACUAAGAAGAUAGGUGAGGAAAAAAAACAAUAACACUGGAGAGCAGCAUAGUAAAAUUU
Molecule: long non-coding RNA, 3438 nt
Filed under: Chinchilla lanigera (long-tailed chinchilla)
Lineage: Eukaryota; Metazoa; Chordata; Mammalia; Rodentia; Chinchillidae
Description: lncRNA (ENSCLAG00000027698.1)
Source: RNAcentral